This 1515-nucleotide ribosomal RNA is filed under the name Triticum aestivum (bread wheat). RNAcentral's name for it is "partial small subunit ribosomal RNA". Lineage: Eukaryota; Viridiplantae; Streptophyta; Magnoliopsida; Poales; Poaceae. The record is from RNAcentral.
AUGAAAAAGGCCGGGAGCGGUAAGAAGCUUGUGAGCGGAGGAGGAGCGGCCGCCGUCGCGUGUCUUGUGCUUCCUCUCGUCGUCCUCGCCGUGCUCAAGUCCGACUUCAUGCCGCAGCAGGUUGUUCACAUUGCAGAGAGCAGCAUUGGCGAAGCUGGUGUAGAGGGUGCAAUAUGGCAGCCGCGGCAACAACUAGUAGCCAGGUCAAAAGCUUCACAUGAUCCGGCAUCGGGCGACGAGACGCCCGACAAGGUCGUCGAUGCAAACAGAGAUCUAAAAAAUGGGAAGGGGUUCCUGGCCACUAAGGUGGGAAUGGAUGGUUCUUUGAUAAAAUCAGAUGGUGAUGUAGCCGCACCAAGGAGCAAGUUAAGUUGCAACUUCAGCAGUUAUCGCACCAACAUGUGUGCCAUGCAAGGCGACGUCCGUCUGCACGGCAAAACCGCCACCGUCUACGUGGUGUCAGCGUCCGACGACAACCGGCCAGAGAAUGGGACGAUCACGAUCCGGCCGUACCCGCGCAAAUGGGAGACACCGACGAUGCAGCUGGUCCGUGAGGUGACCAUCCGUUGGAGAGCCCCACCGGGAGCGGGUGCGCCACGGUGCACGGUGACCUACGACGUCCCAGCGGUGGUCUUCUCCACCGGCGGCUACGGCGUCAACAUCUUCCACGCCAUUACCGACAUCAUCAUGCCUCUCUACAACACGGCGCGGGAGUACGAUGGCCGCGUCCGGCUCGUGGCCACAAACUACGACCGCAAAUGGAUCGCCAAGUACCGCCACGCCCUCUCCAUGCUCUCCAUCUACCCGGUCAUGGACUUGGACGCCGACAACGAGGUGCGCUGCUUCCCGUCGGUGCAUGUGGGAACGGAGAGCCAUAAGGAGCUAGGGAUUGACUCGGCUCUCUCCGGCAAGGGCUACACGACGAUGGGUUUUCGCGGCCUGCUCCGGUCGGCUUACUCUCUGAAGCGUGAGUGGGUGACCCCCAUAAAGAGUGGAAGGCCUCGUCUCGUCAUGGUGCUGCGGAGGAACUCGAGGGCGCUGACGAACGAGGCGGAAGUUAUAGCAGCUGCCACUGAGGUUGGCUUCGAGGUGGUAGCCGCGGGGCCGGAGGUUGUGCGCGACCUGGGCAAGUUCGCGGGGACGGUGAACUCGUGCGACGUGCUGGUGGGCGUGCACGGCGCGGGGCUGAGCAACAUGGUGUUCCUCCCGCGCAACGGCACGGUGGUGCAGAUCGUCCCUUGGGGCGAGAUGAAGUGGCCGGCCUGGACCUCCUACGGCGAGCCGGUGGCUCCCAUGGGGCUUCGCUACGUCGAGUACGAGACCACCGCCGAGGAGACCACGCUCAAGGACGUGUACCCGAGGAACCACACCAUCUUCACCGAUCCCGUCUCCAUACACAAACAGGGAUUCAACAUGUUGUGGGAGACCUUUCUCAACGGCCAGAACGUCACCCUCGACGUCCACCGCUUCAGAGGGGUCCUGCAACACAUCUACCGCUCCGUUACCAUCACAUAA